GACGUAGGGCGCGAGCGUUGUCCGGAAUUAUUGGGCGUAAAGAGCGUGUAGGCGGCCUUACAGGUCAGCUGUGAAAACUCGAGGCUCAACUUCGAGAUGUCGGCGGAAACCAUUUGGCUAGAGUCCGGAAGAGGAGAGUGGAAUUCCUGGUGUAGCGGUGAAAUGCGCAGAUAUCAGGAAGAACACCCGUGGCGAAGGCGGCUCUCUGGGACGGUACUGACGCUGAGACGCGAAAGCGUGGGGAGCGAACAGG
Molecule: ribosomal RNA, 253 nt
Filed under: uncultured bacterium
Lineage: Bacteria
Description: partial 16S ribosomal RNA
Rfam family: Bacterial small subunit ribosomal RNA
Source: RNAcentral